RNAcentral lists this unclassified non-coding RNA (3587 nucleotides) under Manduca sexta (tobacco hornworm). Its description in RNAcentral is "tropomodulin-1, transcript variant X7". Lineage: Eukaryota; Metazoa; Arthropoda; Insecta; Lepidoptera; Sphingidae. The record is from RNAcentral.
UUCCAGUAGGAUUUUAUACAAGAUCAGGUCUGGCCGUCUCCGCAGUGCAGCGGCGCAGGACGCUACUAACGCCAAUUGGCAACUCGCAAAUUAUCGGGUGGUAUACUUAGUGCUCACGACAGCAAUGGGUUCUCUACCCAACGACGAAAAAGGAAUUAUCGAAUACGAAAUUUGAAUUUAAUUUACGAUUAUUUUUUUUAAUAAUCGACGUGCUGUGGGUCGUUUCUUAGUGCAGUGAAUGUGUGCCAAAACCUUUGAGGUCAGUGUUGUGAACGAACAAGCAUCUAGCAAAAAAUAUGACGGAAUUUUUUGGAUCAUGGAGCAACAACGGCGAGGACGGCGACGAGGUGGAGGAGACGGUGGAGUCCGUAGAGACCAUCACCACAACCACCACCAAAACCCGCGUACCAAAAUCCUCAUCUACGAAGACCACUACGAUGACGACCCCGGCCAAGCUGUACGGACGGGAGUUGUCGACAUACGAUGAGGUGGACGUGGACGAACUGCUGUCCAAGCUAACGCAAGAGGAGCUCACCAUGCUCGCCAAGGAGGUUGAUCCAGAUGACAAUUUCCUGCCACCCUCGCAACGUAACAACUACGCGUGCGAGAAGGACCCCACGGGUCCGUUGAACCGCAAGAAACUGAUCGAGCACAUCAACAAGCAGGCGCUCGAGACCCCCGACCGGCCGGAGGUGAAACCCUACGUGCCCGGAGUCAUACGAGGCAAAAAGUGGAUCCCGCCGCCGCCGCCGGAGAAGGUGCGCGACGCGGAGGAGCAGAUCACCAUCGACCUCGGCGACGAGUACGAGCAGGCGCUCACCGGCGCCACGCAGGAGGAGAUCAUCGACCUCGCAGCUAUCCUCGGCUUCCACUCGAUGAUGAACCAGGACCAGUACCACGCGUCGCUGCUCAACAAGGGACAGCCGGUCGGCCUCGGUUGGGACGGCAUCACCAAAGCUACCAAACCAAAGGUUUAUCCAAUGGAUCCUCCCAACGACACAGACCCAGACGAGACCAUAAAGAGGGUACAAGAAAAUGACCCCACGUUGACUGAUCUCAAUUGGAAUAAUAUUAAGAACAUAAGCGACGAGAAGUUCGAGAAGCUGUUCUUGGGUCUGAAGACGAACACGCAGCUGGAGGUGGUGUCGCUGGUGAACGUGGGGCUCGGCGACCGCGGCGCGGCGGCGCUGGCGGCCGCGCUCGCGCGCAACAACACGCUGCGCUCGCUCAACGUCGAGACCAACUUCAUCUCGCCCGCCGGCGUCGUGCAGCUCGUCGCCGCGCUGCUGCACACCAGCGUCGAGGAGUUCCGCGCCUCCAACCAGCGAUCGCAAGUGUUGGGCAACAAGAUCGAGAUGGAGAUCACGCAGCUGGUGGAGCAGAACCCCACGCUGCUGCGGCUCGGCCUCCACCUCGAGUACAGCGACGCGCGGCACCGCGUCGCCUCGCAUCUGCAGCGGAACAUCGACAGAAAUUGUCGAGUGCUCAAGCGAGCUAGCGCGUCGCUGCGCCUGCGCCUGCCGCGCGGACCUCCUCCCGCCCUCGGCAUCGACUCCAGCUUCCUCAUGACGCCGCCCUGCGCCGAGGCACUCACGCCCCCUACCCCUGAACCGAGGCGACCAGUCAUCACCGAAAACGUCGAGAAUACAGUCGUCGUCGAAGCCAAAGAGCGGCCACAGGAGCCCCAGAACGGAGACGCCCCUCUAUUCCCUCGGGAGCGUGUGAUCCCGGUCGCGACUGAGUUAAGUCCGCCUGUGAACGGAGAACGAGAAGUGGAGCUGCGCUCCGGAGACCAUGUGGACAGAUUCGUGAAGGCGGAGAAACCCGAUAUUAACCCCAAUCCGCACUCCCGAGAGGGGAGCGUAGAACCGAAUGAUAAUAUAUAGAAAUGGCCGCAGAACAUCGUACGCCAGCAGCGCCGGAGCCAGAAUAGCGCUUAAAGCCUCGCCUCUCACGUGUGGUGGUCGCGUGCGUCGCCUGACGCAGUUCACCCGCAGCCGCAGCUACGUGGUGGGCUGGAUCCCCUGACGCUGCCUCCGCGCCCUCCCGCGGGACCUUGUGCUUGUGUGCCCUCAACCCUCCAGCCAGACCCUUCCUACCACUAUAAGCUUAGCUUACACCACAAUUUCAAUGUUUUUGGACGUUUAAAAUUAGAACAACCUGUAUACUGACUUUUCUACGCCGAGUUUUAAUGUUAGUAAAAAUGUUGCUUUACGCUUAAACAAAAUUAUGCGGUGCUGCUAGUAGUUAGUACGUUUGAAGGGCUCCUGAAGUUUUAAUAAAACUAUUUCGACGACACACAAUCACAAAGUACCGAACGGACAGUUAUAUGUGUGCCCGAGCGAUGAAUGUUGUAUGCAACAAGAAUUGUGAUUUUAUCACUCGAUCGAACUUGAAACGAUGACAACACUAGUAUGGUGGCAGGCCCAUCACUAGUCCAAUAAGUGCAGUGUAAAUCUCAUUUGAUAUGAAUUUUAAAUAACCAUAGACAAUGUUGAUAUUUCUUUUCAAUACUUCGCAUUCGAGCUAUUCGAAGAGAUUUUUUUUUCUAAAUUAGUUUUAAGUGUUUUUUUUUAAUUAUGCUUUGAAUAGAAAAUAUAUAAUCAUACUGCCGCUACUUGUUCUACAAGUAAAAUGACAAUUCUUGUCUAUGUGUGAGUGACGUACGUUUUACAAUUAAUUCUUACUAUAGUGUGCUAAUGAAAUUGUAUUAAUUUUUAUUAUUAUAUUGUAAUAUAUUUUAGAUGUGCACAUUCCAUUAAUGCGAAACAUGGUUCUCUUGUUUUGACGCUUAUAUAGUGCAAUAAUGACACUACAAAUAAAAUAUUUAUCUUUACUAACAUAUAUUGACUGAAUCAUAGAGAAAUUAUAUUUUGAUUUAAAAUUUCGAUAUUAAUUCUUAUUUGAUUGAAAAAUAACUUUUUUAUUAAUCAGUUUUUAUGAUUAAUCGAUAUAUUUUACAAGGGAAGAUAUGACCCGUGUGUAACGUAAGAGAAGCCAUGUUCUGCGUCAAUGGAGAGCAAAGUUAACUUUACAUUUUUCAAUAAAGCACUAGGUUUCGUUGGUGGUGUGUAGUCACGAUUCGUAUGCCUUCAGCGGUCAAAAUACUUUUGUACGUUUUUAUAGUCGUUGUUAGAUAAUAAUAGAGUAGGGAGUCAUACAGAUGCAGAUUAGCUUGCAAUACGCGCGACCUUCUGCUUUCUUGAGACAUAAAAUGCUUACGUUUAAAUUGUAACUUUAUGUAUAUUUGAUAGUGGAUCUACUGGGGAACUAAGUGUCCGUAAGAUUGUGAUAAAACAUCAUGUUUUUUCCAUUAUAAAAAUACAGCUCGACUUUUAGUUUCCAUAAGAGAGAUUAUUUGUAUAUGAAUUUAGAUUUUUUAAAGUGUAAUAUUCUUUUAUUGUGACGAUUUAUGAAAAAUAAAAUAUAAAUUAAUUAAUAUAAAACAUAAUUUUAAUUGUAGUUAUUUAUGUUGAUAUUAAAGUUCAGGAGCAUUUUGAUUCAACGAAAACCUUGACUAUUAGGGUCGCAGUUCUGUAGUUUGUGACAAAUGUAAAAAAAACUUAAUAAAGUACGUAAAACAUUGA